Non-coding RNA from Vicia faba (fava bean), 345 nucleotides. Lineage: Eukaryota; Viridiplantae; Streptophyta; Magnoliopsida; Fabales; Fabaceae. The record is from the annotation of a GenBank genome assembly.
GGUGAACAAUUUUUCCAUUUCAACUUUUUUUUCUUCCAUUUCUCUCUUCGGUUUCUCCAUCAUCCCAUUUUGUGGUUUCAUCUCUCUCUUCUACUAUCUUCAUCUUUCUCUUCCAACAUUCUUUACUUCUUAUUUUCUACUUCUUAUCUUCCUAUACCUCCAUUAUUUAUUUACUUCUUAUCUUCCUAUAAUAUGCUAGAUUUUAUAUCUCCCUUUGUGGUGAAGAACUUAAGGAGGGUAUCGGUUUGGAGGCUAUUUCUGGAUUGUUUGAAGCAUAUCCUAUAUUGGAAGAAAUUUGUAAGGAAAAAUGUUCCCACCAAUGAACAAAUUUCCUUCUCUCAUUGA